Molecule: ribosomal RNA, 256 nt
Filed under: uncultured bacterium
Lineage: Bacteria
Description: partial 16S ribosomal RNA
Rfam family: Bacterial small subunit ribosomal RNA
Source: RNAcentral
UACAGAGGCCCCCAAGCGUUGUUCGGAUUCACUGGGCGUAAAGGGUGCGUAGGUGGUGAGGUAAGUCGGAUGUGAAAUCUCCGAGCUCAACUCGGAAAUGGCAUUGGAAACUACCUUGCUCGAGGGUUGGAGGGGGGACUGGAAUGCUUGGUGUAGCAGUGAAAUGCGUAGAUAUCAAGCGGAACACCAGUGGCGAAGGCGAGUCCCCUGGACAACUCCUGACACUGAGGCACGAAAGCUGGGGGGAGCAAACAGG